This 253-nucleotide ribosomal RNA is filed under the name uncultured bacterium. Its description in RNAcentral is "partial 16S ribosomal RNA". It matches the Rfam family "Bacterial small subunit ribosomal RNA", at positions 524 to 776 of the family's 1533-position model. The record is from RNAcentral.
UACAGAGGUCCCAAGCGUUGUUCGGAUUCAUUGGGCGUAAAGGGUGCGUAGGCGGCGCGGUAAGUCGGGUGUGAAAUCUCGGAGCUUAACUCCGAAACUGCAUUCGAUACUGCCGUGCUCGAGGACUGGAGAGGAGACUGGAAUUUACGGUGUAGCGGUGAAAUGCGUAGAUAUCGUAAGGAAGACCAGUGGCGAAGGCGGGUCUCUGGACAGUUCCUGACGCUGAGGCACGAAGGCCAGGGGAGCAAACGGG